RNAcentral lists this ribosomal RNA (476 nucleotides) under uncultured bacterium. RNAcentral's name for it is "partial 16S ribosomal RNA". It matches the Rfam family "Bacterial small subunit ribosomal RNA", at positions 28 to 507 of the family's 1533-position model. The record is from RNAcentral.
GACGAACGCUGGCGGCGUGCUUAAUACAUGCAAGUCGAGCGCUGAAGGCCGGUACUUGUACCAUCUGGAUGAGCCGCGAACGGGUGAGUAACGCGAGGGGCCUCCGCCUGUGAGUGGGGGACAACAUGGGGAAACGAAUGCAAAUACCGCAUAAAAACUUUAAACACAGGUUUGGAGGGUGAAAGAUGCAAUUUCAUCACUUAGGGAUGAUCCAGCGUUGUAUUAGCUUGUUGGUGGGGUAAAGGCUCACCCAGGCGUUGAUGGAUAGCCGAACUGAGAGGGUGACCGGCCACAUUGUCCCUGGGGUACGGGCCGUACUCCUACGUGAGCAAGCGGUGGGGAAUUUUGCACGCUGGGCGGCAGCCUGAUGGAGCAUCGUCGCGUGCUGGAUGUCGGCCUUCGGGUUGUAACGCGGUUUCGCCUGUGACGCUGCGUGAGUGACGGUAAUGGCUAAAGAAGCACCGGCUAACUACGUG